AGAGUUUGAUCAUGGCUCAGAUUGAACGCUGGCGGCAUGCUUUACACAUGCAAGUCGGACGGCAGCGGGGUAGUGCUUGCACUACUGCCGGCGAGUGGCGAACGGGUGAGUAACAUAUCGGAACGUACCGAGCAGUGGGGGAUAACUAAUCGAAAGAUUAGCUAAUACCGCAUAUAUUCUGAGGAAGAAAGCAGGGGACCUUCGGGCCUUGCGCUGUUUGAGCGGCCGAUAUCUGAUUAGCUGGUUGGUGGGGUAAAGGCCUACCAAGGCGACGAUCAGUAGCGGGUCUGAGAGGACGACCAGCCACACUGGGACUGAGACACGGCCCAGACUCCUACGGGAGGCAGCAGUGGGGAAUUUUGGACAAUGGGCGCAAGCCUGAUCCAGCAAUGCCGCGUGCAGGACGAAGGCCUUCGGGUUGUAAAGCUGCUUUUGUACAGGAACGAAAAGCUCUUCUCUAAUACAGGGGGGUAAUGACGGU
RNAcentral lists this ribosomal RNA (481 nucleotides) under Neisseria sp. oral clone 25-89. RNAcentral's name for it is "bacterial SSU rRNA". It matches the Rfam family "Bacterial small subunit ribosomal RNA", at positions 8 to 476 of the family's 1533-position model. Lineage: Bacteria; Pseudomonadati; Pseudomonadota; Betaproteobacteria; Neisseriales; Neisseriaceae. The record is from RNAcentral.